RNAcentral lists this long non-coding RNA (1283 nucleotides) under Fukomys damarensis (Damara mole-rat). RNAcentral's name for it is "lncRNA (ENSFDAG00000030448.1)". The record is from RNAcentral. Lineage: Eukaryota; Metazoa; Chordata; Mammalia; Rodentia; Bathyergidae.
GGAGGCUUCCUUGGGGCUGGGAGGAGGCCUCAAGGCCUGCACCCCGAACCUGCUUUUCAGGGGGCAGCUGGGGAGCCGUGGCACCUGGGCGGGUGGCAAGGCCCUGGCGCUCACAGCCCCUGGGAGAUCUGAGCAGGGAGGCGGCAGGGGCAGGGAGACUCAGCAGGCCCCAGGCAAAAGGGCUCAGCCCUCUGCACACAGAGGCCCUUCCAGGCUUGCAGGGCUGGCUCCAGCCGGAGGGUCCUGGACACCAGGCCCACCGGGAGGCCAGUGGAAGGCUGUCACCCAGGGCUGAGGGGGUCAGAGGAGGUGCUGGAAGGGGCCGGGCUGGUGGCUGGUGGCCGGAGGGAGGUGGGUAAAACCCAGGUGCCAGAGGCCACGCUUGGGCACCAGCUGGGGGAUGGGAGGAAGGGAGGAGCAGGGAGGUUUUAAUGGAGCCUGGUGGGUGAUGGGGGGAGACAGAGGACAGCAGGGUCAAGCCUGGUGGAAGCACCUGCAAUCCCAGGACUGUGGGAGGCUGAGGCAGGAAGGUUUAGAGUUCUCAAGUUCAAAUUACGCCCUGACAUUAUGACUCACACACACACACACACACCAAAGUAGCUGGGGAUGAAGUUCAGUGUGAAGACCACAGUUCUAAUAAGAAGAGAGAGAGAGAGGCUCUCCCACCCUCUCUGGACACCCAGUGCUAAAUGCCCUGAGCAGAGGCUGCCCAGAGCCUGGCAGGGAGGCAAGGAUGCAGGGGACAGCAGCAAGGUGAGGACCUGGACAGCAGAGGCAGCAAGAAAGCAGGUCCCAGGCCCGCUGUCUGUGACUUUGCCUUGGUGCCUACGCCGGAGGAGAAGAGUUCGGCGCCACACCUGCUCAGCUCCUGGCUCACCCCAGUUUCCCCAGACCCUCAGAGCCCCAGCUUCCUUGGCCGUCGUGGCACCUGCCCCGAGGACUGGUGGCCGGGUAGAGGACCCCGCGCGGGGUGCCGGGUAAUAUGGAACGGCCAGCAUGCCUGGCCGUUGGUCCCACACACCGGAGAGACAGAUGCACUCUACCCACCAUGGAGAAGCGGGAAACGGAGGCUCACAGAAGUUCAAGGGAGUUGCUCACCGUCACCCCGCGAUUCUAACCCCAAGCCUGGGUUCCUAGCAAGGAGAUGGGUGGGUGGGGAGACAGGUGCAGGACCCACAGCCUGCUGUUUGGUUUGAGAGGGGCUGGCAUGCUCCUUCCAGCUCUCCUGGCCUCUCUGCCCACCUCACCGCCCAGAAGAGUCAGAGCAGCACCCAGGAAGCACC